Molecule: ribosomal RNA, 550 nt
Filed under: uncultured bacterium
Lineage: Bacteria
Description: bacterial SSU rRNA
Rfam family: Bacterial small subunit ribosomal RNA
Source: RNAcentral
UAGGGAAUCUUCGGCAAUGGACGGAAGUCUGACCGAGCAACGCCGCGUGAGUGAAGAAGGUUUUCGGAUCGUAAAGCUCUGUUGUAAGAGAAGAACGAGUGUGAGAGUGGAAAGUUCACACUGUGACGGUAUCUUACCAGAAAGGGACGGCUAACUACGUGCCAGCAGCCGCGGUAAUACGUAGGUCCCGAGCGUUGUCCGGAUUUAUUGGGCGUAAGGCGAGCGCAGGCGGUUAGAUAAGUCUGAAGUUAAAGGCUGUGGCUUAACCAUAGUAGGCUUUGGAAACUGUUUAACUUGAGUGCAAGAGGGGAGAGUGGAAUUCCAUGUGUAGCGGUGAAAUGCGUAGAUAUAUGGAGGAACACCGGCGGCGAAAGCGGCUCUCUGGCUUGUAACUGACGCUGAGGCUCGAAAGCGUGGGGAGCAAACAGGAUUAGAUACCCUGGUAGUCCACGCUGUAAACGAUGAGUGCUAGGUGUUAGACCCUUUCCGGGGUUUAGUGCCGUAGCUAACGCAUUAAGCACUCCGCCUGGGGAGUACGACCGCAAGGUUG